This is a long non-coding RNA of Dendronephthya gigantea, 500 nucleotides long. RefSeq lists it as uncharacterized. The transcript is spliced from 2 exons. The record is from RefSeq and is a predicted model, not a curated record. Lineage: Eukaryota; Metazoa; Cnidaria; Anthozoa; Malacalcyonacea; Nephtheidae.
CGUGUUUCAGUUGAAGGUGAAAAAGUUUAUGUUACCACGUCCAAGAUGAAAUCAAUUGGAAGUAUUGUCUUAAUGAUUGUCUGUCUGGCUGUUCUUUGUGACGCCCGUGAUAAACGGUGUCGACCGGGAAUUUGGUGCGGCAAGAAUAAACAAGCAGACGAAAUGAAAGCUAAUGGAGCAAGACGUGAAGGGAUCGCUGGGGAUAGAGAUUCUAAACGUCAAUAUCACAGAAUGAAAGGAGAUGACGCUAGAAACAAGGUCGACAUCGAGCGUGAAUUUGAAGGAUAUUUUGGGGAUUAUUGAUAGCAUUUCAUGGAAAAUUUUGCAAUCAUCGCAGUCUACAAAAUGAACCGUUUUAUCUUAGAUUAACGCAUUCAUAAAUGUAAACUAGUACAUUAUCAAACAGCUAUAUAUAACAACACGUAAAUAAUAUGUACAUGCAUGAGAAACGUCGAACUCGAAAUCAAUGAAAUAAAACUACUCUUGUUCUUCAAAAAAUA